Molecule: long non-coding RNA, 482 nt
Organism: Poecilia latipinna (sailfin molly)
Lineage: Eukaryota; Metazoa; Chordata; Actinopteri; Cyprinodontiformes; Poeciliidae
Exons: 3
Source: RefSeq, a predicted model, not a curated record
CCGGCGCUAAGGGGUGCUAAUGCUAAACCCAACAUGAACGAAAAUGCCCGUGCGUUGUGUGAAAUGGUGGAAAAAGUCCUAUUUCACGGAGUUACUUUUUCAGUAUCGUUUUGAUAUCAAGCAAUGUCCCGGCGGAAAACAACAGAUGACACCGCGGCGGUCCAACAAGGCCGAACUCACGACCUGAAAAAUGGCUAAGCCUUAACAGCCAGGCCUCAGACCACGGUGUCGAGGCGCUCUUACGGAGUCCACCAGGACGAAGUGAAAUUCAGUAAGUUAUGAUUUCACAUUUAGUCAAUAGUGAACACUCGCAUAUUUAUAAGGAAAACUGAUCUUCCGGUUAUUUUAUUUAUUUUGUUAUAAAGUAGUAUAGUAAGGCAGAGUGUGGUAAGCAGUAGAGAUCGACAACAUGGCGGACGGAGGACGGAUAUAAGGACGGUGCCAUGAAGCCGACACUCCACAGAAUGGGAGUCACAUUUGUG